UUGGGUAUGAAACUUUCUCUUCUCCAGACCUGGACUUGAACCUCAAAGCCUAAGGUGGAUGGCUUGGACAAUGAAAGGAUGCUGUACUCGUUAGAAUACAAGAUUCCUUUACUGUCCCUCAACCUUGACCAAAUGGGAAGCACUCCCCCUUGUCAACACAAGCUGGCAGAUACAUUUGACUCUACAGAUGAAGGUGAACAAUGUUAGGAUAAAAUUGCUUUGGAUCUUGCCUGGAAGGUGUUUUAAGUUUUGUAAUAAACAAGAUGAUGUCUGAAAAUGUGUAACAGGGCACCUUGCCUCUGUCCAUGUCACUAUUAACCCUUCAAGGUUGUAUAUUGCUGGCUGGGUGUGGCAGCUCAUGCCUGCUGUCCCAGCACUUUGGGAGCCUGAGGCGGGAGGAUCACUUGAGCCCAGGAGGUCAAGGCUGCAGUAAGCCAAGAUUGCGCCACUGUACUCUGGCCUGGGUGACUGAGUGUGACUCUAUCUCAAAAAAAGAAAAAGAAAAGUACUCUCAAAAUUUCCAGAUCAUAAAGAGAAAAGGGAUUAUGUUUAGAAUUUUUAAACACCUGAUUUUUAUGGGAAAAAUAAAGCUAUAGUAAGUAAAUUAACAAGAGCUAGGGUUUAUCUGCCUAGAUAAAUCAUAUUUAGAUGUAAUCAUUUUAUCCAUUCUUAUAGCA
RNAcentral lists this small RNA (677 nucleotides) under Pan troglodytes (chimpanzee). RNAcentral's name for it is "processed transcript". Lineage: Eukaryota; Metazoa; Chordata; Mammalia; Primates; Hominidae. The record is from RNAcentral.